This is a long non-coding RNA of Raphanus sativus (radish), 1451 nucleotides long. RefSeq lists it as uncharacterized. The transcript is spliced from 3 exons. The record is from RefSeq and is a predicted model, not a curated record. NCBI's taxonomy places the organism in Eukaryota, Viridiplantae, Streptophyta, Magnoliopsida, Brassicales, Brassicaceae.
GUUUGCACGUUUCUCGGUUCAUCCGUCAUCGUCUCACGUUGUCGGCACAUAACCCCUUCAUCCUCUCUUCAUCACCUUUCGUCUUCCAUCUCUUCCAUUUCUCUUCCGCCAUAUCCGUUUCCAGUUACUUCACCACUAAUUUCUGUAAUCAAACUUUCAUAACUCUCAUUUAAUGGACCUCUUUCACCUUCUUCCCUAUUUUUCUAUUUAUACAUCUCCUUUCUUAGCACAUCGACCCAUCAAAACUGAUAAAACUCUCUCAAACUUUUCUCGAUGGACGGCUCCUCCAACUCUUCCGGCUUCGGCGACCGCACGAACAGUGGAAAGACUGUCGCCUCCUCUGCAACUGCGAACCCUAAUGGCAACCCGUCGAACCCAAAUGGCACUACCGAUCUCUCCUCGAGCAAGUGAUGUUCUUCCGAGAUGUUUCAUUCGGGCCACGUGAAGCCGUGGUGAGUUCCGUCUGAUUCACUUCUGAGACGUUCGGAAUCCAAACACGAAAAUUCUCAUCGGACAAGAGAUGCUCCUUAUCGACGAAGAGGGUGGAAUGUUGUUUGAACUUUACAGCGCUGAAAGCUUUUCCCUUUGUACGUGUUUACAGUGACAGCUGGUUUCACUACUGAUGAUAACCUUGCUCCAAUUAUUCAGAAUAAUAGCUGCCGCCGAAGGGAACUGAAAUCGACAAAAAUAUGUUUAGAACUAGAGACAGCAGAAGUUGUAGAUCGCUUGAAUCGUUGAUCAUUAAUAACAAUGAAUUUGGUGACUUUUUUACACUGUCUAUUUGAUCUCCUGGGAAUUGGUUAAUUCACUUUCUUAGUUUUGAUUCUCUGUCCUUGCGUUGGAGGGAACCUCUAGCAUUAGAUAUUACUCUAUGAUGUGAGUUCAUAUUUUUUACUUAUGGUUAAAGCAAGAAUCCCAUCAACUUGAAACAGAAUUUUCAAGACAAAGGGAGAAAGACAAGAAGAUGGAACGCGAUAAAGACAGAGACAUGAUCAUGAUCUACAUCGUGAAAAUGUGAAGAGCAGAGAUAGAAACAUGAAGAACAGAAGAGGUCUCAGGAUCGACAAAGUGAGAAAAUACACAUGUGACGACCACACUCUCGAAGAGCUUGCUUAACUAAAGCUUUGAGUUCCAUGGAAAGUUGCUUAUAUGUUUCAGUUGCAUGGAGAAGCCAAUUUCCAACGCCACACGUUUCAUUUUCGAGGCCAUUGCUCCUGACUGCAGAUUCACAGUGGCUGAACCAACAAAUUACUAAUAGUGAAGAUUAGGCUGCCCAUUGUUGUGGAAUCCCCGGGUUUAAGCGUUAAACGAGAGCAGAAAAUAUGGUAAAUAAUCGUACAGUCUUUAGAUCGUGAUAGUUGUUUAUACUGAGAAAAGGAUAAAUAUUACUGAAUCUGAACUUGAAAGGCUAGAAAUCAACAGUAAAAGUUGAAACAUAUAUCAGUUCAAUU